RNAcentral lists this long non-coding RNA (5030 nucleotides) under Triticum aestivum (bread wheat). Its description in RNAcentral is "long non-coding RNA (TAES_LNC003091)". Lineage: Eukaryota; Viridiplantae; Streptophyta; Magnoliopsida; Poales; Poaceae. The record is from RNAcentral.
AAUUAGACCAAUGCCCUCUUGAUCAAUUGAAAUUUCAUAAAAUUUAUUACAAUGAAUAACUACUGAGGGAACAUAGGACUUCUUACAUAUCUUUUCUAAAUAUAAAAUGUAUAUCUUCAUCAAAGUCUUCUAUGUUAUAAUUCAGCUUCAUGUGCAUGCAGUUCCUAAUGUUAGCAGUAAUCAGAGCACUCCUGCACAACAACCGCGACGACAAUCUUCCUUCUCUUUAUCAUCGCUCACCAUCUGUGUCCUGUCAUUGAUGGCACCUUAGCCACACUACACCGGCUCUGGCACCAUAAAGGCGAUGGUAGAGAUCCCGUGGGAAGGUACCUUCGCCACACUACACCGGCUCUGGCACCAUUAAGGCGAUGGUACAUUCCGUGGGACUGUCGCGCAUGGUACCAGGCCAAGAUGCUCCCGCCAACCAUGAAAGCGGCCACCUGCUGCAAACAUUUGAAGAGUCAUUAUGUGAUUACUAUUACAUCUACAUCUGAUGAAUGAGAAUAACAAGUAGGAUGGUGAAUGAGAAGUCAACAUCCAACAUGAAUAGCUAGACAACAUGUAGAUAACAGGCUAAACUUCCUUUCCUGCUAAAUCUUUGAUAUUACCCCAGUAAUGCGAACCAACUGCUUCAAGCUUCUCAGAUGGACCCUUAUAUCCCUUAGUUCUUCUACCGAAACAAACUACUUGCCCCGGGAUAACCACCAUAUGUCCGUAAGACAACAACUUGCACCUUCCACUUGGCAUGGUUCAUAGUUGAUUGUGCCUCUUCAGCUCUCACGGGAUACAACCAGACAAUGUCAUGUAUAAUGCUCCAAUAAUCAGACAAUCAAGAUGCAUGAACUAAUAUGUAGACUCAAUCUUCUUAGUGAAGAUAUCUUAACAUGUGUUGACAUUUACAAAAAUGCCUGUCAUGAUUUCAUAGAUGACAAAGGCAGACAAUUACGAUGCCAACAUUGCCAGCACAUUAUAUUAGUGAACUCACACGUACAUGUACAUUCCGUAGUUUACCGGAUUUUAUUAUUGACAGAACAGGCAGAAGAUUUUAAAAGGUAAAUAGACAAAUAAGAAUCCAAGUAAUAUCAACAUUGGGAUGCUCUGGUUUAUAUAUCAUUGCUCUGAUUUCUUAAGCCUUUGGUUUUUUGUGCAAUAUAUUUUCCAUGUAAUAGCAAGCUGAAGGAUGAUAAGCUCAAAGAGGUUACCAGGACCAAAGAUGAUUAUCUAAAAGAAACCUUGAAGCAAAAAGCUGAUGUCGAUAAAACAGUAUAAGGCCUAAAAUAAAAACAUGUCUUCAUAGUAAAAGUCUUAGUCGUCCUAGAACAGUUCGAAAAGUCUUAGUGGCUUUAUCUAAAAAAAAAGAUGCUUAGUGGCUCUGCAUGCUAUGACAACCAUCAAUUGAAGUACAUAUCUCGCUGGACUUGAACUCUUGCGACUAAGAUAUCAAUUGAAACCCAGAUUCACCGAGAAGUAGGAAAUAUGGCUGCAAUAUAUCAAUGGCUCGAAUAAUGUGCAAUAUAUCAAUGGGCUUGAAUAAUGUGCAACAUAUCAAUAUGACAAUAUUAGCUAUCCACUACACAACCAAAUUUAACCGAAAAUCUAUAAGAUGAGUUCUAAUAAUAGCAAUCCAACAACUACUAAUCCAAACUCACUUGUGCAAACUUGCGGCCAUGCGGCAUCAGUAAAUGCGUAAGGAUGACCAUGUGCCCCAUAAUUGGAAAUCUGAAAUAAUAGACACCGAGUGUUAAUGGAGAAUAGCAAAAUAUGAAAAAACAGAUAAGAAGGUGAAAAUUCAACCUAACAUAUAUUAUCUCCCUCAGAAGCCAAUAGUAUGCACUGGAUGUGUCCAAGAUGCUGCUUUGACCUUGCUGAAUUUUUCAUGUGUUACCGUCAUAGGACACGAAAAAUGUGCAGCUAUAUACACCCAAGAAAUUGUCUCCAAGGUUCAGGCUACAAAAAAAAACAUAAAAAUCUGACGUAUUCGGAAAACCGUAGAGAACAAAAAGCGCUCAAACAACUUUGGCUCUAAGUCUGGUAGGCGACCAAGCACUGCAGCACCUCGUGACAUGCCUUCUCAAAUCUUGCAUUGAAGUAAUUUUACUUGCUGGCACAACUUUUUCUGUUCCAAAAUUCUUCGGGUUUGGUCAACCACCUUAUCAGAUUAUAUGAUUAUGAUAUAUCAAGCAAGAUUUAAGUCAUGUAACAUCACAACAUCCCAAAUUAGCAGGCAUGUCUUUAAGCUUCUGUAUGAGCUUGCAAAGAAAUUUUGUUGGCCCAUCUAGAUUGUCUGUGCAGAAGCAUUGAUCUCAGAUUGCUGGUUGUAUAUCUAAAAAAUUCAAACUAUAAUCCCAGGUUAAAUCUUGCAAACUACCCAGAAAGUUUAUAUCUCAAUAAAAAAUGCUUACACAUCAAUUUCUCACUUUUUUCUGAACCUCGUGUCAACAGAUUGCUAUAGUCAGUAGAGUGUAAUCAUAUUCAUAGCACGUCGUAUGAAAAUGGUAGAUAUCCUACUGCCUAUCUCUGGAAAAUUGAACAAUACCUAAACUGCAAUUAACUGUAAGCAGCCAUGCUUAACUUGGCUCAAACAGAAGCUUGAGAAGUUCCUUUUCUUGGUGGUUAACGUCUUAGAAGUUAGAAUGAACUGAAAGAAGUGCAUUAUUGGUUGAGUAGGAAGUUCUUGGUCUUGGAACCAUGGCAGUUGCCGGUUGCUAUCAUUUAAAAGAAGAGCCUUCAUUUUUAGCAGAGUUUCUGGAGUAUUUCACGCUUAAGUAAGAAAUAGUAGUCUUCUGGGUUGAACAUUAAAUAAUUAAGCAUGACAUGUCAUUGACUUAAAUAUUACACACGAAACUGGCCAGGGAUGAGUUAUACUCAAAUAAACUUGCAAAGUGUAAAUUACCUGUACGCAGGUUAGCCUCGAGCAAAUCUUUGUACAAAUCAAAUCAGAUCACAUAAAUUAUUCUUCUGAAUCGAACUGCAGUGUGUAGACGGCAGGGCGGUGGCGGCGUCGGGGCAAGGCAAUUCGUGCGCCUAGGCGGCCGCAUCCGAUGGAGAUGGAUGGAAGACGAAUCGGAGUGCUGGAAUGUCGCUGGCCCGGCUGGGCACGUGGAGACGUGGGGAGGCCACCAGUGUGGCGCCUGGGAUGCAGCGCGUGGGAAGAGACGGCGUGGGAGCGCGUGGGAGGCACGGCGGGGGAUUGGAUAAGGCCUGUGUGCUCUCUUUCUCCGUCGAGGACGACAGCGACGGCACCCAGGCCGGCUGCUCGCCUCGGUUCAAGGUUCUCGACCUUCUAUUGUAUGGGAGAAAGGUGGGGAUUGAUUUUUGGCCGCGAGGCAGAGGAAUUAGAUGCCGAUGGCACCAGGAGAGGAUGAACAGCGAGGGGAAGCGAGGGCCUCGACAGCGGUGGACUGCCCUCUGCCUCUCGAUGUGCCCCUCCUCCCCGGAGGCGGCGGUGGGGACCUUGGGGGGCGUGUAACCGUAGAGCGCCGGCCAGAGGCGGGCCAGGCGGCGGCCAUGAAACCUUGUGGGAGGUGCGGGCGGGGCUGGUGGGGGUGGGUGGUUUGAGACUUGGAGAGGAACGGGAGAUCGUGGGUGGGCGUGACGUUGGGGAGGGGAUCGGGAGUUCUGCUAUAGGCGUCCUUUUUUCCUUCUAUAAGAGCUAAACAUGUUAUAACUAAUGGCAGUGAUGGGUAAUUACACUGUCAAACACGUUUGAUUUGAUGGUGUGGUAUAACUUCAAUGAUCAGAUUAGCAUGGUUCAAUGGUUGAGAUGAUUUGGUUCUUCGCCCUUUCGUGCUUUUAUAUGGGUUGAUGGUUGAAAUUAUUUUUUCCCGAUGCUACUCAUUCCCAAGGUAUCUCCAUAUUAUAGAGUAUUUCAUUAAUAUUUCAAGCAGACCGUGGUCCCUCAAAGAUCCUAAGGUUGAGUAAAUGCGAUGAAAGAUCUUAAUCUACAAUUUUCUUUGUUUACACUACAAGGGCUCUGUCAAUUCUUGGUAUCCUCAUGAGCAUACCUAUAGAAAUCACUGCUAGGUACUGGUGAUCUAAACGCUCUUAUAUUUAUUUACGGAGGGAGUACCAAAUAUAGAGCACAUUUUUUUUAUAGAAUUAGUCACAUAUGAAGAGGAUGAUCAAAUGAUAAGAAUCCACUUUUUAGACUAGUAAGUUUGCACGUGCAACACACGUCUUAAUCGUUGGAAAGUGAAAUCACAUAAGUAUAAAAUAAAAUAAAAGGUGUUCUAAAAUAUAUGGAUUAAAUGGAUACACAAUGUUGUGAGUUCACAGAGGUUAUUUCUUAGAAGAGAGACUAAUUGUGAUGAUGUUGUUGCAUGGAGACAAUGAUAUAUUGUUUAAUACCGAGUGCUUAAUAGGCUGUAAAAGAUAAAAAAAAUUGUGGUUACAAUUGGAGAAUAGCCUUGCGCUGUGUUUAGUACAUGGAGAUGCAAUCCUUUGGUCUUAAUAUCAUGGUGUGAGCAAUUGAUACCUAAUCUUAGAAAAAGAUAUUAAUAUCAUGGUGUAAGCGAUUGAUAACCAAAAUAUGAGAAAAGUUCUAGGAUAAAGUUAGAUCCAUCGAUAUGAGAUUACUAACAAAAUGUUUAUGUAAAUCUCGAAAUGGCAUGAAAUUUCUGGAACUUGAUUACAUGUUGCAAAUACUCAAGAACUCAGCUUGAUGACUACUAAAAUGAAAAAGAUAUAUCCCAGAUAAAAAUAUCAAUGGCAUUGAACCAAUGGUCUGAAGUAAAAUCUUAACACCAACUGAUUUGAAGGAGUUCUUUCUUUUACAAUCAAAGGACUCACCUAUAUUGCUCAAGAUUACUCAGUUUGAAAAAAAGGCAAGAUCGUCCAGAGUGGCAUUACGCCACAGCCUCGGGUCAGUAACUUGCAAGGGUAGCUUUGCACACAGUGGUGCAUAGAAAUUAGGCUCUGCAAAGAAAAGACAGUACCGAACAAAAAUCCUGGCCCAACUCCUCAAUUUCACACAGGAGGCCCAUAAUCUCUUAUCUGUUUUGUUUUCUUGAGUUCCACAUGUCCACCAGUGC